GACGAACGCUGGCGGCGUGCUUAACACAUGCAAGUCGAACGGAAAGGCCCUGCUUUUGUGGGGUGCUCGAGUGGCGAACGGGUGAGUAACACGUGAGUAACCUGCCCUUGACUUUGGGAUAACUUCAGGAAACUGGGGCUAAUACCGGAUAGGAGCUCCUGCUGCAUGGUGGGGGUUGGAAAGUUUCGGCGGUUGGGGAUGGACUCGCGGCUUAUCAGCUUGUUGGUGGGGUAGUGGCGUACCAAGGCUUUGACGGGUAGCCGGCCUGAGAGGGUGACCGGCCACAUUGGGACUGAGGUACGGCCCAGACUCCUACGGGAGGCAGCAGUGGGGAAUAUUGCACAAUGGGCGGAAGCCUGAUGCAGCAACGCCGCGUGCGGGAUGACGGCCUUCGGGUUGUAAACCGCUUUCGCCGGUGACGAAGCGUGAGUGACGGUAAUGGGUAAAGAAGCACCGGCUAACUACGUG
RNAcentral lists this ribosomal RNA (468 nucleotides) under uncultured bacterium. RNAcentral describes it as "partial 16S ribosomal RNA". It matches the Rfam family "Bacterial small subunit ribosomal RNA", at positions 28 to 507 of the family's 1533-position model. The record is from RNAcentral.